RNAcentral lists this ribosomal RNA (724 nucleotides) under uncultured bacterium. Its description in RNAcentral is "bacterial SSU rRNA". It matches the Rfam family "Bacterial small subunit ribosomal RNA", at positions 28 to 776 of the family's 1533-position model. The record is from RNAcentral.
GAUGAACGCUGACAGAAUGCUUAACACAUGCAAGUCUACUUGAUCCUUCGGGUGAUGGUGGCGGACGGGUGAGUAACGCGUAAAGAACUUGCCCUGCAGUCUGGGACAACAUUUGGAAACGAAUGCUAGUACCGGAUAUUAUGUGAGUUUCGCAUGAAAUUCAUAUGAAAGCUAUAUGCGCUGCAGGAGAGCUUUGCGUCCUAUUAGCUAGUUGGUGAGGUAACGGCUCACCAAGGCGAUGAUAGGUAGCCGGCCUGAGAGGGUGAACGGCCACAAGGGGACUGAGACACGGCCCUUACUCCUACGGGAGGCAGCAGUGGGGAAUAUUGGACAAUGGACCAAAAGUCUGAUCCAGCAAUUCUGUGUGCACGAUGAAGUUUUUCGGAAUGUAAAGUGCUUUCAGUUGGGACGAAGUAAGUGACGGUACCAACAGAAGAAGCGACGGCUAAAUACGUGCCAGCAGCCGCGGUAAUACGUAUGUCGCAAGCGUUAUCCGGAUUUAUUGGGCGUAAAGCGCGUCUAGGCGGUUUGGUAAGUCUGAUGUGAAAAUGCGGGGCUCAACUCUGUAUUGCGUUGGAAACUGUCAAACUAGAGUACUGGAGAGGUGGGCGGAACUACAAGUGUAGAGGUGAAAUUCGUAGAUAUUUGUAGGAAUGCCGAUGGGGAAGCCAGCCCACUGGACAGAUACUGACGCUAAAGCGCGAAAGCGUGGGUAGCANACAGG